Molecule: ribosomal RNA, 256 nt
Filed under: uncultured Gardnerella sp.
Lineage: Bacteria; Bacillati; Actinomycetota; Actinomycetes; Bifidobacteriales; Bifidobacteriaceae
Description: partial 16S ribosomal RNA
Rfam family: Bacterial small subunit ribosomal RNA
Source: RNAcentral
CGAACGGGUGAGUAAUGCGUGGCCAACCUGCCCCAUGCUCCAGAAUAGCUCUUGGAAACGGGUGGUAAUGCUGGAUGCUCCAACUUGACGCAUGUCUUGUUGGGAAAGUGUUUAGUGGCAUGGGAUGGGGUCGCGUCCUAUCAGCUUGUAGGCGGGGUAAUGGCCCACCUAGGCUUCGACGGGUAGCCGGCCUGAGAGGGCGGACGGCCACAUUGGGACUGAGAUACGGCCCAGACUCCUACGGGAGGCAGCAGUU